GCAGUGGUGGUUCAGCGGUAGAAUUCUUGUCUUCCAUGCUGGACACCUGGAUUCAACUCCCGGUCAAUGCA
Molecule: transfer RNA, 71 nt
Filed under: Loxodonta africana (African savanna elephant)
Lineage: Eukaryota; Metazoa; Chordata; Mammalia; Proboscidea; Elephantidae
Rfam family: tRNA
About the family: Transfer RNA (tRNA) molecules are approximately 80 nucleotides in length. Their secondary structure includes four short double-helical elements and three loops (D, anti-codon, and T loops). Further hydrogen bonds mediate the characteristic L-shaped molecular structure. tRNAs have two regions of fundamental functional importance: the anti-codon, which is responsible for specific mRNA codon recognition, and the 3' end, to which the tRNAs corresponding amino acid is attached (by aminoacyl-tRNA synthetases). tRNAs cope with the degeneracy of the genetic code in two manners: having more than one tRNA (with a specific anti-codon) for a particular amino acid; and 'wobble' base-pairing, i.e. permitting non-standard base-pairing at the 3rd anti-codon position.
Source: Rfam by way of RNAcentral